GCCGGAUGUGGUGGUGCGCACCUGUAAUCCCAGCUACUCAGGAGGCUGAGGCAGGAGAAUCGCUUGAACCCAGGAGGUGGAAGUUGCAGUGAGUCAAGAUCAUGCCACUGCACUCCAGCCUGGGUAACAGAGCAAGACCUUGUCUCAA
RNAcentral lists this small RNA (148 nucleotides) under Pongo abelii (Sumatran orangutan). Its description in RNAcentral is "Metazoan signal recognition particle RNA (ENSPPYG00000040773.1)". Lineage: Eukaryota; Metazoa; Chordata; Mammalia; Primates; Hominidae. The record is from Rfam by way of RNAcentral.